This 21-nucleotide microRNA is filed under the name Malus domestica (apple). Its description in RNAcentral is "mdm-miR482d". Its record names the gene mdm-miR482d. The record is from miRBase by way of RNAcentral. Lineage: Eukaryota; Viridiplantae; Streptophyta; Magnoliopsida; Rosales; Rosaceae.
AAUGGAAGGGUAGGAAAGAAG